Molecule: long non-coding RNA, 639 nt
Organism: Neopelma chrysocephalum (saffron-crested tyrant-manakin)
Lineage: Eukaryota; Metazoa; Chordata; Aves; Passeriformes; Pipridae
Exons: 2
Source: RefSeq, a predicted model, not a curated record
GCCAGCUCUCGCCCGUCUCCUCGGUGGCCCGGGCCUCGCUCUACGACAUGCAGCGCUUCGGGCGGGACCCGUACGCGGACCGGGCGCGCUAUUCCGCCUUCUGAGCCGGAGGUAAGAUUUGUGCGGCUGGACGUCGGGGUCCCGUCGCACGCCGAUCGGCGCCGCGCGUCUCGGGCCGCGCCGGGUCCCAGCGUCGCCGCGUUGCCGCUCCCCGGCCGGUUCCCCACGGACGCGUCGCUCGGCCCCGGCCCGGGCAGGAAUUAGCUCAGCCCUUCCCCCCCCUUCCCCAGCUUCCCCCGCCCCCUCCUCCGGGCAGGAUUUUGCUUUUCCAGGUGGUUUUGGGUCCUCGCCCCCCUUCCCGGGGCUCAGGUGCCGCCGUCCCCCCCCCCAAACAGCGCCAGCUUUGCUUUGCUUCGCCGCCCCCUCCCCGUCGCUCCCCCCGGAGCUGCCCCGAGUCGUCGUUUGCCUUUUUUUCUUUUCCUUUAUUUUGGAGAGGCUGGAGAAGCCCGUGGUAGGUUUGUAGGCCAAGGCCGUAGCUGACCGGAGCCCGCCGCGCCGGCGGGGGUGGAUCCCCCCCAUCCUUAGCGUCCCCCCGACCCCCUUUUCCGGUAAAAUAAACCCAGAAUUUUUAACAAAUGG